GCGGGUGAGGCCUAUGGGUGAGGCGCCACACUUCCUGUGUGGAGAACAAGGUUCGAGUCCUUGCGCCCGCU
RNAcentral lists this transfer RNA (71 nucleotides) under Raineyella antarctica. Its description in RNAcentral is "tRNA_Gly_TCC". It matches the Rfam family "tRNA". Rfam says of the family: Transfer RNA (tRNA) molecules are approximately 80 nucleotides in length. Lineage: Bacteria; Bacillati; Actinomycetota; Actinomycetes; Propionibacteriales; Propionibacteriaceae. The record is from RNAcentral.